AUAUAUAUAUAUUUGUUGUCCGUGUUCCUCGCAGAGAAAAUAAUUUCUCAAGAUAUCUUUAUCAGUAACGGAUCAUAACUGUCAACUGUAUGCUGCAAAUUAAUGAGAUUCCUGCAGCCCUUAUGAAGGUUCUAUUCAUGCAUUAUUGCAUUUGCAUAGUUAUUUAUAGGUAAUAGCAACACUGUUUAUUAAGGUAGAAAAGGGAUGAAUUAUUGGAAUAUAUCUAUUUUUUUAAUAAUUUUAGGGGAUAUGCACUGCUGGAAGAAACUGCUCGAAGUUAUCACUUGGGCUCAACUAGAAUCCACGAUAACCCGUGGGGCUGUUGAACGUGGAUGGCUACUACAACUCGUUGCUGUCAUUCAUGGACAAUGCUGUAGACGAAGGAUUCAUUACACCAGCUGCCCGUGACAUUAUUGUCUCUGCCCAAACUGCCCAAGACCUCAUGUCGAAGUCUUGAGGUUGUACAUAAACAUUGCCAUGAAAAUGCUCAUUUUUUAUUUUUCCAUUUUCUUAAAUUAAUAAAAAGAUUUAAUUGGUUUUUCCUUUUUUUCUUGUGAAUUUUUUUAUGAUAAAUUUUCCAGGAAUAAUGUGCCGAAGCACCGUGUUGUGGCACCGAAGCUGAGUUGGGAGAUGGACCACAGUUAAUAAAGAGAUCACAAACCAUUGCAGAAUGAGAUGAAAUGAACUUCAAUUUUCUCUUUAGAAAAUAGCUUUCUCAAUACAUUUUGUAUUUUCUUAAUUGCCCACAAUUUGAUCAAACAAGAACAAUUUCCGUC
This is a non-coding RNA of Vigna umbellata (rice bean), 776 nucleotides long. NCBI's taxonomy places the organism in Eukaryota, Viridiplantae, Streptophyta, Magnoliopsida, Fabales, Fabaceae. The record is from RefSeq and is a predicted model, not a curated record.